AGCGAACGCUGGCGGCAGGCCUAACACAUGCAAGUCGAACGAACCUUUCGGGGUUAGUGGCGGACGGGUGAGUAACACGUGGGAACGUGCCUUUAGGUUUGGAAUAACUCAGGGAAACUUGUGAUAAUACCGAAUGUGCCCUUCGGGGGAAAGAUUAAUCGCCUUUAGAGCGGCCCGCGUCUGAUUAGCUAGUUGGUUGAGGUAAUGGCUCACCAAGGCGACGAUCAGUAGCUGGUCUGAGAGGAUGAUCAGCCACAUUGGGACUGAGACACGGCCCAAACUCCUACGGGAGGCAGCAGUGGGGAAUCUUGCGCAAUGGGCGAAAGCCUGACGCAGCCAUGCCGCGUGAAUGAUGAAGGUCUUAGGAUUGUAAAAUUCUUUCACCGGGGACGAUAAUGACGGUACCCGGAGAAGAAGCCCCGGCUAACUUCGUG
This 434-nucleotide ribosomal RNA is filed under the name uncultured bacterium. Its description in RNAcentral is "partial 16S ribosomal RNA". It matches the Rfam family "Bacterial small subunit ribosomal RNA", at positions 29 to 507 of the family's 1533-position model. The record is from RNAcentral.